GCUACCAUGCAAGUCGAACGGUCUGGUGUUUAACACCAAACGCUACAUGCUAACCGGGGAAUCACAAUUGAGCCGCGUCUUAUGAACGAGCGAAGCGAGUUCAUUACGCAACUUAAAAGUGACUAACCGGAAACGUAAGAGCGAUUGGUGUUGAACGCCAGGUAGUGGCGAACGGGUGAGUAACGCGUAAACAACCUGCCUCAUAGAUGGGGACAACACCGCGAAAGUGGUGCUAAUACCGAAUGUUUUAACUUUGCUGCAUGGCAGAGUUAAUAAAGGUGGCCUCUAAAUUAUGCUACCGUUAUGAGAGGGGUUUGCGUCUGAUUAGCUAGUUGGCGGGGUAAUGGCCCACCAAGGCGACGAUCAGUAGCCGGUCUGAGAGGAUGAACGGCCACACUGGGACUGAGACACGGCCCAGACUCCUACGGGAGGCAGCAGUGGGGAAUCUUCCGCAAUGGACGAAAGUCUGACGGAGCAACGCCGCGUGAGUGAAGAAGGUUUUCGGAUCGUAAAGCUCUGUCUUUUGGGACGAAUGUGCUGUAGGUGAAUAAUCUGUAGCAAUGACGGUACUAAAGGAGGAAGCCACGGCUAACUACGUGCCAGCAGC
Molecule: ribosomal RNA, 607 nt
Filed under: uncultured Propionispora sp.
Lineage: Bacteria; Bacillati; Bacillota; Negativicutes; Selenomonadales; Sporomusaceae
Description: bacterial SSU rRNA
Rfam family: Bacterial small subunit ribosomal RNA
Source: RNAcentral